CUCUAUUUACUAUAAUUUCUUUUGUCUUAUUAGUCAUACCACAAGUAAAUGAAACUAGCAUGUUCUCCAUUACUAACAUAUAAAAAGGCAGUUAUAAAGAUGGACUCAAUUACUAUAUUAAUGGAAAAGCGUAGCCCAACAGCUAAACUUUUAGCAUAGACAGCCCCGCAAGACUAAGUACUGCUUUAAAUCAAACUACCGUAGCCAUAACCAACCAGUAUGUAUUUAACUGUAUUUUCUAAACAUCGAUACAAGAAAACUAAGCCAUGACACUGUUUGAACAUUUAGCUGGUUAUCUGGGAUUGUGUUAUUGUCCCGACUAAGCUAUCGGUCCAUAUCUACAGCUCUGACUGCUA
Pelobates cultripes (western spadefoot toad) is the source of this 356-nucleotide non-coding RNA. The record is from the annotation of a GenBank genome assembly. NCBI's taxonomy places the organism in Eukaryota, Metazoa, Chordata, Amphibia, Anura, Pelobatidae.